Molecule: long non-coding RNA, 693 nt
Organism: Zonotrichia leucophrys gambelii
Lineage: Eukaryota; Metazoa; Chordata; Aves; Passeriformes; Passerellidae
Exons: 3
Source: RefSeq, a predicted model, not a curated record
UGAAGACAAAGAUGUGGCAGUGCUUAGAGGAGCUGCCUAUGAGAAACACUGAGAUGCUUCUGCAGGCUGGUGUGCUGGGCUUGGAGAAAAUGGUCAGGCUGAGCAGCUGUCCUGUCUGAGAAGGGGCUGAUCUGUCGUGAUCAAGGGUUGCUCUAUGCAGGGGCAGCAGCCCUUUGGCAAGGAUUUCCCAAGCUACCAGACGUCCAGAAGUCUGGUGAACAGCCCAAACUGAAAGAAGGCAAGUUACUACUAAAGGCAAAACGGGGAGAGGUGUAAGGAGAGGUUUCUGAUGUUUACUGCUAAUUCAGGUAUGCUGCAGUGAGAAAGAAUUCUGCAUUUGAGAGACAAUUAUACUAAAAUGGGGAGAGAUGUUAACUGUUAAUCAUUCCACCUUCCCAAGAGCUUUUGAGCUGUUCAAGAUCCACAGCACACAUUUGGCAAGGCAGAUGUGGUUCUAAAUCACUUGUGCAAUCUCUGAAUUUUGGAAAAAGAGACCACUUUUGCAGUAUGAAGCCAUCUCUCUCCAGAGGACUGUGUGUGAUGGCUUUUCUGAAUUUGAUACUUCUGAAGGAGGAGGAAUAGGAAAAACAUUCCCUGAUACCUGAUCAUGAGAGUAGGGGGUUCUAGGUAUGGGAGAGGACAGGUAUCUGUGGAUGCCAGAGGAUAAUCCAGUUUGAGGAUAAGUGAAAAACU